UUUUGGUUGGCAUUACGACUACGACUAUCGACUUAGCGUGGGAGCUAGCGUCACGCAACAUGGUCACGGACAAGGGGUGCAUGCUGUGAGGAAUAUAUAAUGCAAAAAAAUCAACUCUCUGUGCGCACGCGUACGCGUCAUGCUUUUCUUUUUUUUGCUUCCAGCGGCAUGCACUCCCAUCAUCGAAUCCCGUUGCGUCUGCUAGAGAAGAUGCAUGGGCCGGGUCACAUAUCCAACUAUCACGUUUGUCCGGUUUUCAUUCUUAGAAUACUAUAAAAUCAUAAAACAUACGACGACACACAAUUGUCAAAGUCAGACAAAUUAUUACACCGAGCCAAUUCUACCCGGCUUGGGGGCGAUGUGGCGGUGAUUCGCUAACAUGGAUGUCGCGUUGCGUUAGGGCCAACGGGUCAUCCUUCUUUUUUCACCUUCCUCCUCUAUAUCCUCUGCUUGUUUCCACCAGCCGGCGCCUCAUCAAAGCUCCCAAGUCUCCUUCCAUGGCCGAUCACGCCUUUUGCACCGGGGCGCUCUCCGACUUUGACACUAUGCACCCUAAUUUAUCCGGUUUUGUUUGUUUUUGUAGUUCAAGGAUAAAUUUUGGACGAAUGUGACAGUUGAAGAGUGAAGUACGGACUUUCUCUAAUUAAAAUACAAGACCAGACAAGAGCCAACAUAUAUACUCC
Molecule: long non-coding RNA, 683 nt
Filed under: Setaria viridis
Lineage: Eukaryota; Viridiplantae; Streptophyta; Magnoliopsida; Poales; Poaceae
Description: long non-coding RNA (SVIR_LNC008470)
Source: RNAcentral